Molecule: ribosomal RNA, 465 nt
Filed under: uncultured bacterium
Lineage: Bacteria
Description: partial 16S ribosomal RNA
Rfam family: Bacterial small subunit ribosomal RNA
Source: RNAcentral
CUACGGGAGGCUGCAGUGGGGAAUAUUGGACAAUGGGGGAAACCCUGAUCCAGCAAUGCCGCGUGUGUGAAGAAGGCCUGCGGGUUGUAAAGCACUUUCGGUUGGGAGGACUGCUUCUAGCACUAAUAUUGUUGGAAGUUGACGUUACCUUCAGAAGAAGCACCGGCUAACUCCGUGCCAGCAGCCGCGGUAAUACGGAGGGUGCACGCGUUAAUCGGAAUUACUGGGCGUAAAGCGCGCGUAGGCGGCUAGAUCAGUCGGGUGUGAAAGCCCCGGGCUUAACCUGGGAACUGCAUCCGAUACUGUCUAGCUUGAGUACAGGAGAGGAGAGUGGAAUUCCACAUGUAGCGGUGAAAUGCGUAGAUAUGUGGAGGAACACCAAGGGCGAAGGCAGCUCUCUGGCCUGAUACUGACGCUGAGGUGCGAAAGCGUGGGGAGCAAACAGGAUUAGAUACCCCCGUAGUC